UACGUAGGUGGCAAGCGUUGUCCGGAUUUACUGGGCGUAAAGAGCGCGCAGGCGGUCGUGCAAGUCGCGUGUGAAAGCCCCCGGCUCAACUGGGGAGGGUCACGCGAUACUGCUCGACUCGAAGGCAGGAGAGGGAAGUGGAAUUCCCGGUGUAGUGGUGGAAUGCGUAGAUAUCGGGAGGAACACCAGUGGCGAAGGCGACUUCCUGGCCUGUUCUUGACGCUGAGGCGCGAAAGCUAGGGUAGCAAACGGG
Molecule: ribosomal RNA, 253 nt
Filed under: uncultured bacterium
Lineage: Bacteria
Description: partial 16S ribosomal RNA
Rfam family: Bacterial small subunit ribosomal RNA
Source: RNAcentral